CACGUAGGGGGCGAGCGUUGUCCGGAAUCAUUGGGCGUAAAGAGCUCGUAGGCGGCUCGGUAAGUCGGGUGUGAAACCCCCAGGCUCAACCUGGGGACGCCACCCGAUACUGCUGUGGCUAGAGUCCAGUAGGGGAGUGUGGAAUUCCCGGUGUAGCGGUGAAAUGCGUAGAUAUCUGGAGGAACACCGGUGGCGAAGGCGGCAUCCUGGACCGGUAUUGACGCUGAGGCGCGAAAGCCAGGGGAGCAAACGGG
Molecule: ribosomal RNA, 254 nt
Filed under: uncultured bacterium
Lineage: Bacteria
Description: partial 16S ribosomal RNA
Rfam family: Bacterial small subunit ribosomal RNA
Source: RNAcentral